GAUGAACGCUGGCGGCGUGCCUAAUACAUGCAAGUCGAGCGAACAGACCAGGAGUUUGCGCCUCUGACGUUAGCGGCGGACGGGAGAGUAACACGUGUAUAACCUACCUAUAAGACUGAGAAAAUCACGGGAAACCGGAUCUAAUACCGGAUAAUAUAUUGAACCGCAUGGGUCAAUAGUGAGAGUCGGUUUUGCUGUCACUAAUAGCUGCAUCCGCGCCGGAUUAGCUAGUUGGUAAGGUAAAGGCUUACCAAGGCAACGAGGCGUAGCCGACGUGAGAGGCGGGUCGGCGACACUGGAGCGGAGCCGGCGUCCAUACGCCUGCGGGACGGAGCAGUCGGGAAUCUUCCGCAAUGGGCGAGAGCCUGACAGAGCAACGGCGCGUGAGAGAUGAAGGUCCUGGGUUCGUGAAACUCUGUUUUUAGUGGAGAACAAAUGUGUCAGUAGCUGUGCACGUAUUGACGGUACCGGGUCAGAAAGCCACGGCUAACUACGUG
This 497-nucleotide ribosomal RNA is filed under the name uncultured bacterium. RNAcentral's name for it is "partial 16S ribosomal RNA". It matches the Rfam family "Bacterial small subunit ribosomal RNA", at positions 28 to 507 of the family's 1533-position model. The record is from RNAcentral.